GAUAGUGCAAUGGGCUUCCUUUAAUUGGCAGAGAUUGAUUACCCGACCGUGUAUAAUAGAGAAACUUUUAAAGGCUGAGAAAAAUUUCUUUUGUGAGUAUGUACAUAACUUGUUCAUGUCCUCGGUGUUGGGAUGAGGUUUCUUGACUGGAGAGUAUGGGCUGGGGCUGGACAUUAUUUUAUUAUAGUUGACUAUUAUGAAUCGGAAAAAGAUUCUUAAGAGGAGUUAGAGUGAAGAACAUGAUUAUCAGAGAGAGGUUUGGGAAGGUAUGUGGAAAGAAUGACCAUUAUAUGAGUUCUGUUCAUCGAUUAAGAGUUUGAAUGGGAGUUUUAAAGGAGUGAAGGGGAAGAUGAAAGGAUGGAAAGAUGAAAGGAGGACUAAACUAAAGAAAGAUGAAAAGGGGUAAAGAGAAUGAGAUAACUGAUGUAAGUUAAAGGAUAGUAGAGGGGGAUAUUGGGAAGGUAAGAAUUUAUAGUGGAGGCAGGGGUGGCGUAUGAAGCGGUGAAAGUAAUGAUGACACUCCCUUUAUUUUUAAAACCAAUUUUCAAAACUUUGAAAGUAAAGCAGUAAAAAAAUAAAGAAUUUCCAAAGAUAAAACUCA
RNAcentral lists this long non-coding RNA (601 nucleotides) under Capsicum annuum. Its description in RNAcentral is "long non-coding RNA (CANN_LNC012600)". The record is from RNAcentral. Lineage: Eukaryota; Viridiplantae; Streptophyta; Magnoliopsida; Solanales; Solanaceae.